This 492-nucleotide ribosomal RNA is filed under the name uncultured bacterium. RNAcentral's name for it is "partial 16S ribosomal RNA". It matches the Rfam family "Bacterial small subunit ribosomal RNA", at positions 29 to 507 of the family's 1533-position model. The record is from RNAcentral.
AGUGAACGCUGGCGGUAGGCCUAACACAUGCAAGUCGAACGGCAGCACAGUAAGAGCUUGCUCUUACGGGUGGCGAGUGGCGGACGGGUGAGGAAUACAUCGGAAUCUACUUUUACGUGGGGGAUAACGUAGGGAAACUUACGCUAAUACCGCAUACGACCUACGGGUGAAAGCAGGGGAUCUUCGGACCUUGCGCGAGUGAAUGAGCCGAUGUCGGAUUAGCUAGUUGGCGGGGUAAAGGCCCACCAAGGCGACGAUCCGUAGCUGGUCUGAGAGGGUGAUCCGCCACACUGGAAGUGAGACACGGUCCAGACUCCUACGGGAGGCAGCAGUGGGGAAUAUUAGACAAGGGGCGCAAGCCGGAUCCAGCCAUACCGCGUGAGUGAAGAAGGCGUUCGGGUGGUAAAGCCCUUUUGUUGGGAAAGAAAAGCAGCAGGUUAAUACCCCGCUGUUCUGACGGUACCCAAAGAAGAAGCACCGGCUAACUUCGUG